GAUCACCAGGUAGCAUUCCUCGUUGACAUAACCCGCCCGCUGGUACAAGCCAACACGGGACAGGCAGGUCGUUCAAGGUGAUGCGCCACUCUCUGACAUACCCUCCUGAUGGCAAAGCCAAUUCGGGCAAGACAGCAAGUCAUGUUAACGUCGACAAACCCUCCUGAUGGCAGAGCCACACCAAAGCGAGACAGCAAGUCAUGCUAACGUUGACAAACCCUCCUGAUGGCAAAGCCACACCAAGCGAGACAGCAAGUCAUGCUAACGUUGACAAGCCCUCCCGAUGGCAAAGCCAAUUCAGGCAAGACAGCAAGUCAUGUUAGCGUUGACAAACCCUCCCGAUGGCAAAGCCAAUUCAGGCAAGACAGCAAGUCAUGUUAGCGUUGACAAACCCUCCCGAUGGCAAAGCCAAUUCAGGCAAGACAGCAAGUCAUGUUAACAUUGACAAACCCUCCCGAUGGCAAAGCCAAUUUCAGGCAAGACAGCAAGUCAUGUUAACGUUGACAAACUCUCCCGAUGGCCACAGCCAUGUCAAGCGAGACAGCAAGUCGUGUUAACAUGGACAAACCCUCCCGAUGGCAAAGCCAAUUCAGGCAAGACAGCAAGUCAUGUUAAGAGCGGCGCAAACGCUAAAUGAGGGCAAAACAUGGAUCCCAUAGGACCCAUGCCCACAUCGUUUUCCAUAUCCAGGAUACCAAGCAACGCUCAAUGGGCCACAACAUCAACGCAGGCGUCAACAAUGUGGAUCAAAGAGACCGCUUCGUGGUUCAUCCGAUGCCACAAGAAUGACACAAGACGAAAUCAACUUUAAUCAACCAAGACAAUACCAUAGCUUAGGUAGGCAACACAGAAACCAACAUUUUGGCUAGGCAAUACAAGCCUAAACAA
This 888-nucleotide unclassified non-coding RNA is filed under the name Bidens campylotheca subsp. pentamera. RNAcentral describes it as "partial external transcribed spacer". Lineage: Eukaryota; Viridiplantae; Streptophyta; Magnoliopsida; Asterales; Asteraceae. The record is from RNAcentral.